GGAAUAGACGGGGACCCGCACAAGCGGUGGAGCAUGUGGUUUAAUUCGAAGAUACGCGAAGAACCUUACCUGGGCUUGAUAUCCUAAGAACCUUUUAGAGAUAAGAGGGUGCUAGCUUGCUAGAACUUAGAGACAGGUGCUGCACGGCUGUCGUCAGCUCGUGUCGUGAGAUGUUGGGUUAAGUCCCGCAACGAGCGCAACCCACGUAUUUAGUUGCUAACGGUUCGGCCGAGCACUCUAAAUAGACUGCCUUCGUAAGGAGGAGGAAGGUGUGGACGACGUCAAGUCAUCAUGGCCCUUAUGCCCAGGGCGACACACGUGCUACAAUGGCAUAUACAAUGAGACGCAAUACCGCGAGGUGGAGCAAAUCUAUAAAAUAUGUCCCAGUUCGGAUUGUUCUCUGCAACUCGAGAGCAUGAAGCCGGAAUCGCUAGUAAUCGUAGAUCAGCCAUGCUACGGUGAAUACGUUCCCGGGUCUUGUACUCACCGCCCGUCACACCAUGGGAGUUGAUUUCACUCGAAGCCGGAAUACUAAACUAGUUACCGUCCACAGUGGAAUCAGCGACUGGGGUGAAGUCGUAACAAGGUAACCGUAGGAGAACCUGCGGUUGGAUCACCUCCUUUCUA
This 627-nucleotide ribosomal RNA is filed under the name Campylobacter jejuni. Its description in RNAcentral is "bacterial SSU rRNA". It matches the Rfam family "Bacterial small subunit ribosomal RNA", at positions 906 to 1533 of the family's 1533-position model. Lineage: Bacteria; Pseudomonadati; Campylobacterota; Epsilonproteobacteria; Campylobacterales; Campylobacteraceae. The record is from RNAcentral.